RNAcentral lists this ribosomal RNA (449 nucleotides) under uncultured Leptolinea sp. Its description in RNAcentral is "bacterial SSU rRNA". It matches the Rfam family "Bacterial small subunit ribosomal RNA", at positions 917 to 1382 of the family's 1533-position model. The record is from RNAcentral. Lineage: Bacteria; Bacillati; Chloroflexota; Anaerolineae; Anaerolineales; Anaerolineaceae.
GGGCCCGCACAAGCAGCGGAGCGUGUGGUUAAUUCGAUGUUACACGAAGAACCUUACAGGGUUUGACAUGCAAGUGGUAGGAAGCCGAAAGGUGACCGACCCUUCGGGAGCUUGCACAGGUGCUGCAUGGCUGUCGUCAGCUCGUGUCGUGAGAUGUUCGGUUAAGUCCGCUAACGAGCGCAACCCUCGCUGUGUGUUAUAUGUGUCACACGGGACUGCCGGUCUUAAGCCGGAGGAAGGUGGGGAUGAUGUCAAGUCAGCAUGGCCUUUAUAUCCUGGGCUACACACACGCUACAAUGGCCAACACAAUAGGUUGCUAAGCCGCGAGGUGGCGCCAAUCCAUAAAGUUGGUCUCAGUUCAGAUUGUAGGCUGCAACCCGCCUGCAUGAAGAUGGAGUUGCUAGUAACCGCAGGUCAGCUAUACUGCGGUGAAUACGUUCCCGGGGCUU